This 253-nucleotide ribosomal RNA is filed under the name uncultured bacterium. Its description in RNAcentral is "partial 16S ribosomal RNA". It matches the Rfam family "Bacterial small subunit ribosomal RNA", at positions 524 to 776 of the family's 1533-position model. The record is from RNAcentral.
UACGGGGGGGGCAAGCGUUGUUCGGAAUUACUGGGCGUAAAGGGCCAGUAGGCGGCCAACUAAGUCCGACGUGAAAUCCCAAGGCUUAACCUUGGAACUGCGUCGGAUACUGGAUGGCUUGAAUUCGGGAGAGGGAUGCAGAAUUCCAGGUGUAGCGGUGAAAUGCGUAGAUAUCGUGAGGAGCACCAGAGGCGAAGGCGGCUACCUGGACAAUUGCUGACGCUCAGGCACGAAAGCGUGGGGAGCAAAAGGG